This 94-nucleotide ribosomal RNA is filed under the name Escherichia coli P0299438.2. Lineage: Bacteria; Pseudomonadati; Pseudomonadota; Gammaproteobacteria; Enterobacterales; Enterobacteriaceae. The record is from RNAcentral.
UGGCGGCAGUAGCGCGGUGGUCCCACCUGACCCCAUGCCGAACUCAGAAGUGAAACGCCGUAGCGCCGAUGGUAGUGUGGGGUCUCCCCAUGCU